AUGGCAGCUACAGCUCAUGAUUGGAAGUUCGUCACGUUUUUCGCAAAUUGCACACGUCUACGCUUGUUCAACCUCCAGUAUAACAAGUUAGGUGGCGUACUGCCAAUCUCUUCUACCAACCUAUCAUCACAACUCCAGAUUCUAUGUGUUAAUCACAAUGAGAUUUCCGGAAAGAUACCAUCUGGGUUAAGUAAUCUUGGUGGGCUAAAUUAUUUGCAAUUAUCUGACAACAGAUUCACUGGUAUCUUGCCGGAUAGCAUCGGACAGCUAAGUUCGCUACAAGUCUUAGUCUUUAACGGAAACCGGUUGACAGGAUUCAUUCCCUCCUCCCUUGGGAACUUGACGAAGCUAUUACAACUUUACGCUGGCGAAAACAAGUUUGAGGGACCACUUCCAACAAGCCUAGGGAGACUGCAGGAGCUAACAAUAGCAACCUUUGACAACAAUAAGUUCACUGGUCCAUUGCCUAAAGAGAUCUUCAACUUGUCAUCCUUGUCAUAUGCUCUAGAUUUUUCAAAUAAUAAUUUCGUUGGCCCUCUUCCACCAGAAGUUGGCUUCCUCACACAGGUUACUUACAUACACAUCCACUGGAACAACUUACAAGGGCCGUUGCCUAAUACACUCAGCAAUUGUCAAAGCUUAAUAGGUCUUCGGUUUUCAGAAAACACACUCUCAGGUGUGAUUCCUCGCGAGCUAGGGCUCAUGGCUGGCAUUGAAGCAAUGUAUCUUGCAUCCAAUAAAUUGUCGGGUCAGAUCCCAGAGGAUAUGGAGAACAUGACAUCAAUUUACCAUUUAGACCUGUCCUUCAACCAUCUAGUUGGCAAGGUUCCAUUACAAGGUGUGUUCAGUAAUGUGACUGGUUUUUAUUUUAUGGGAAUUUUGGGCUCUGCGGUGGCAUCUCAGAAUUACGUUUGCCCGCAUGCCCACCAGAAUACACGGAACACAGCUUACGGAUACACCAUGUCCUUCUAG
This 972-nucleotide ribosomal RNA is filed under the name Triticum aestivum (bread wheat). RNAcentral's name for it is "partial small subunit ribosomal RNA". The record is from RNAcentral. Lineage: Eukaryota; Viridiplantae; Streptophyta; Magnoliopsida; Poales; Poaceae.